Molecule: ribosomal RNA, 634 nt
Filed under: uncultured bacterium
Lineage: Bacteria
Description: bacterial SSU rRNA
Rfam family: Bacterial small subunit ribosomal RNA
Source: RNAcentral
ACGCUGGCGGCACGCCUAACACAUGCAAGUCGAGCGAGAAAGUGACUUCGGUCGCGAGUAAAGCGGCGAACGGGUGAGUACAACGUGGAUAACCUACCCUAAGGUCUGGGACAACCCCGAGAAAUCGGGGCUAAUACCGGAUAAGACCACAGUAUCCAAGGAUACAGCGGUAAAAGAUUUAUCGCCUUUGGAUGAGUCCACGCCCCAUCAGGUAGUUGGUAAGGUAAAGGCUUACCAAGCCUAAGACGGGUAGCCGGCCUUAGCGGGUGAACGGCCACAUGGGGACUGAGACACGGCCCUGACUCCUACGGGAGGCAGCAGUGGGGAAUAUUGGGCAAUGGGCGAAAGCCUGACCCAGCGAUGCCGCGUGAGGGAUGAAGGCCUUCGGGUUGUAAACCUCUGUCAGGAGGGACGAUGGGACUUUGUCUUGACGGUACCUCCAGAGGAAGCCCCGGCUAACUCCGUGCCAGCAGCCGCGGUAAUACGGAGGGGGCAAGCGUUGCUCGGAAUUACUGGGCGUAAAGGGUCCGCAGGCUGUCAGGCAAGUUGGUUGUGAAAUCCCAAGGCUUAACCUUGGAAUUGCAUCCAAAACUGCCUGACUAGAGUCCAAGAGAGGUUGGGCGGAAUUCCCCGG